GAAAUAGCAUAUUUGUUAGAUGAAAUCCGGCGAGAAAACGAUUUUUGCAAGCGAGACGCUGUCUCCACAUGCUGGGGAGCUGAUCCCGAGCUCGACGAGUUCAUGGAAACCUAUUGCGAUGUGUUGAUGAAGUAUAAAUCUGAUCUUGAAAGGCCUUUUGAUGAAGCGACCACCUUCUUGAACAAGGUUGAAAUGCAGCUCCGCAAUCUGUGCACGGACGCCUCCAUUAGAAGUCCCUCUGGUGUGUCUCCU
This 252-nucleotide unclassified non-coding RNA is filed under the name Hevea brasiliensis (rubber tree). The record is from RNAcentral. Lineage: Eukaryota; Viridiplantae; Streptophyta; Magnoliopsida; Malpighiales; Euphorbiaceae.